UCCGUAGGUGAACCUGCGGAUGGAUCAUUAGAAAGUGUUAGACGCGCAAGCGUCGACCACCUACUCUGUGCAUCGUAACGUACCCUGGCGGGAGCCUGCGCAAGCGGCGCCCGUCGAAGGGCAGAUACCCCUCGGGGCGUCUGUUCCCAACAAACACAUCAACCAAAGUCUGAAGCUAAAGAAGCAAUGUUAAACAACUCUUGACAACGGAUCUCUUGGCUCUCGCAACGAUGAAGAACGCAGCGAAAUGCGAUACGUAAUGUGAAUUGCAGAAUUCCGUGAAUCAUCGAAUCUUUGAACGCACCUUGCGCUUCUUGGCAUUCCAGGAAGCAUGCCUGUUUGAGUCUCAGUUGACUCUCACUCUGUGGAUCUGGGCGGCUCGGCAACGACCGCCUGAAAUGCAUCAAGCUGGCCUCUAGAGUGCUCGACACUUGUGGCUCGAUAAUACUUCGGUUUAUUAGUCGGUCGUGUGGAUGCGUCUCUAAAGGACAUGUGUAUCAUACCCUCAGCGGUAUCUGACACCUUGAGCUCAAAUCAGGCAAGACUACCCGCUGAACUUAAGCAUAUCAAUAAGCGGAGGAAAAGAAACUAACCAGGAUUCCCCUAGUAACGGCGAGUGAAGCGGGAUCAGCUCAAUUUUUAAAUCUCGGAGGCUCCCUCCGCGAGUUGUAGUUUGAAGAGUCGCUUUCGGCGGUGGGUCCGGUCCAAGUUCCCUGGAACAGGACGCCGGAGAGGGUGAGAGCCCCGUGGGGCCGGCACCCGCCUAAUGUGAUGCGCACUCGAAGAGUCGGGUUGUUUGGGAAUGCAGCCCUAAACGGGAGGUAAAUUUCUUCCAAGGCUAAAUACCGGCGAGAGACCGAUAGCGAACAAGUACCGUGAGGGAAAGAUGAAAAGCACUUUGAAAAGAGAGUUAAACAGCACGUGAAAUUGUCAAAAGGGAAACGCUUGAAGU
Molecule: ribosomal RNA, 952 nt
Filed under: uncultured fungus
Lineage: Eukaryota; Fungi
Description: eukaryotic LSU rRNA
Rfam family: Eukaryotic large subunit ribosomal RNA (bases 525-952)
Source: RNAcentral